This 492-nucleotide ribosomal RNA is filed under the name uncultured bacterium. Its description in RNAcentral is "partial 16S ribosomal RNA". It matches the Rfam family "Bacterial small subunit ribosomal RNA", at positions 29 to 507 of the family's 1533-position model. The record is from RNAcentral.
AGUGAACGCUGGCGGUAGGCCUAACACAUGCAAGUCGAACGGUAGCACAGUAAGAGCUUGCUCUUACGGGUGGCGAGUGGUGGACGGGUGAGGAAUACAUCGGAAUCUACUUUUUCGUGGGGGAUAACGUAGGGAAACUUACGCUAAUACCGCAUACGACCUACGGGUGAAAGCAGGGGAUCUUCGGACCUUGCGCGAUUGAAUGAGCCGAUGUCGGAUUAGCUAGUUGGCGGGGUAAAGGCCCACCAAGGCGACGAUCCGUAGCUGGUCUGAGAGGAUGAUCAGCCACACUGGAACUGAGACACGGUCCAGACUCCUACGGGAGGCAGCAGUGGGGAAUAUUGGACAAUGGGCGCAAGCCUGAUCCAGCCAUACCGCGUGGGUGAAGAAGGCCUUCGGGUUGUAAAGCCCUUUUGUUGGGAAAGAAAAGCAGCAGGUUAAUACCCCGCUGUUCUGACGGUACCCAAAGAAUAAGCACCGGCUAACUUCGUG